AUUGAACGCUGGCGGCAUGCCUUACACAUGCAAGUCGAACGGCAGCACGGGUGCUUGCACCUGGUGGCGAGUGGCGAACGGGUGAGUAAUACAUCGGAACGUACCUUAUCGUGGGGGAUAACGCAGCGAAAGCUGUGCUAAAACCGCAUACGCCCUGAGGGGGAAAGCGGGGGAUCGCAAGACCUCGCGCGAUUGGAGCGGCCGAUAUCAGAUUAGGUAGUUGGUGAGGUAAAGGCUCACCAAGCCAACGAUCUGUAGCUGGUCUGAGAGGACGACCGGCCACACUGGGACUGAGACACGGCCCAGACUCCUACGGGAGGCAGCAGUGGGGAAUUUUGGACAAUGGGCGCAAGCCUGAUCCAGCCAUUCCGCGUGCAGGACGAAGGCCUUCGGGUUGUAAACUGCUUUUGUACGGAACGAAAAAGCCUUGGCUAAUACCCAGGGUCCAUGACGGUACCGUAAGAAUAAGCACCGGCUAACUACGUGCCAGCAGCCGCCGUAA
This 502-nucleotide ribosomal RNA is filed under the name uncultured bacterium. RNAcentral's name for it is "partial 16S ribosomal RNA". It matches the Rfam family "Bacterial small subunit ribosomal RNA", at positions 30 to 523 of the family's 1533-position model. The record is from RNAcentral.